CAAAGCUCCGUGUGGACAAACAUGCUGACUUGCUGCGCACAGGGAUUUGCAUUGUGAAGACUGUUUAGCUGAGCUUAACAGGACUGCGAGCCCCACCUGCAGCCACUCCCUGUCCAGGAGAGCCAGGAAACCCUCCAGCGUGCGGCAGCUCGGGUCCAUGAUGAGUUGGGCCAGAGUGCAGAUGAGUAAAGUGCAGUCUGUACCUUCAUAGCCGUGGACCAGCGCUGAAUGACCAUCCCUGGACAAAAACAAUACAGUCUAUUAAAAAGAGUCAUAUGCGUUCAUUCCUUAA
This is a non-coding RNA of Poecilia reticulata (guppy), 292 nucleotides long. NCBI's taxonomy places the organism in Eukaryota, Metazoa, Chordata, Actinopteri, Cyprinodontiformes, Poeciliidae. The record is from RefSeq and is a predicted model, not a curated record.